UACAGAGGGUGCGAACGUUGCUCGGAAUUACUGGGCGUAAAGCGCAUGUAGGCGGAUCCAUAAGUCGGGCGUGAAAUCCCCAGGCUCAACCUGGGAACUGCGCUCGAAACUGUAGGUCUUGAGUGUCGGAGAGGAUGGCGGAAUUCCUGGUGUAGAGGUGAAAUUCGUAGAUAUCAGGAGGAACACCGGUGGCGAAGGCGGCCAUCUGGACGACAACUGACGCUGAGAUGCGAAAGCGUGGGGAGCAAACAGG
Molecule: ribosomal RNA, 253 nt
Filed under: uncultured bacterium
Lineage: Bacteria
Description: partial 16S ribosomal RNA
Rfam family: Bacterial small subunit ribosomal RNA
Source: RNAcentral